This 1160-nucleotide ribosomal RNA is filed under the name Leviellus thorelli. RNAcentral's name for it is "SSU rRNA". It matches the Rfam family "Eukaryotic small subunit ribosomal RNA", at positions 621 to 1804 of the family's 1831-position model. Lineage: Eukaryota; Metazoa; Arthropoda; Arachnida; Araneae; Araneidae. The record is from RNAcentral.
AAAAAGCUCGUAGUUGGAUCUCAGCUCGAGACGGAUGGUCCGCCUACCGGUGGUUACUGUCUGUUCUCAGCAUUCAGCCGGUUUCGCUUGAUGAUCUUCACCGGUUGUCUUGUGUGACCGGCAAGUUUACUUUGAAAAAAUUAGAGUGCUCAAAGCAGGCGUGAAAGCCUGAAUAAUGGUGCAUGGAAUAAUGGAAUAGGACCUCGGUUCUAUUUUGUUGGUUUUCGGAACACGAGGUAAUGAUUAAGAGGGACAGACGGGGGCAUUCGUAUUGCGACGCUAGAGGUGAAAUUCUUGGACCGUCGCAAGACGAACUACUGCGAAAGCAUUUGCCAAGAAUGUUUCCAUUAAUCAAGAACGAAAGUUAGAGGUUCGAAGGCGAUCAGAUACCGCCCUAGUUCUAACCAUAAACGAUGCCAGCCAGCGAUCCGGCUGUGUUCCUCAAAUGACACGCCGGGCAGCUUCCGGGAAACCAAAGCUUUUGGGUUCCGGGGGAAGUAUGGUUGCAAAGCUGAAACUUAAAGGAAUUGACGGAAGGGCACCACCAGAAAUGGAGCAUGCGGCUUAAUUUGACUCAACACGGGAAAACUUACCCGGCCCGGACACAGGAAGGAUUGACAGAUUAAGAGCUCUUUCUUGAUUCUGUGGGUGGUGGUGCAUGGCCGUUCUUAGUUGGUGGGGCGACUUGUCUGGUUAAUUCCGAUAACGAACGAGACUCUAGCCUACUAAAUAGACGCUCCGAUCCUUCGAGUCGGACGUUCUUCUUAGAGGGACAAGCGGCGUUUAGCCGCACGAAACAGAGCAAUAACAGGUCUGGGAUGCCCUUAGAUGUCCGGGGCCGCACGCGCGCUACAUUGAAGGAAUCAGCGUGUGCUCUCCCUAUCCGACAGGAUUGGGUAACCCGUUGAACCUCCUUCGUGCUGGGGAUAGGAGAUUGUAAUUGUCCUCCUUGAACGAGGAAUUCCCAGUAAGCACAAGUCAUAAGCUUGUGUUGAUUACGUCCCUGCCCUUUGUCCACACCGCCCGUCGCUACUACCGAUUGAAUGAUUUAGUGAGGUCUUCGGACUGGCGCUCGGAUUGGCCUUCGGGUCGAGCCGAAGUGCCGGAAAGAUGACCAAACUUGAUCAUUUAGAGGAAGUAAAAGUCGUAACAAGGUUUCC